ACGGAGGGUGCAAGCGUUAAUCGGAAUUACUGGGCGUAAAGCGCGCGUAGGCGGCAAUAUAAGCUAGAUGUGAAAGCCCAGGGCUCAACCUUGGAAUUGCAUUUAGAACUGUAUAGCUAGAGUACAGCAGAGGAUAGUGGAAUUUCAGGUGUAGCGGUGAAAUGCGUAGAGAUCUGAAGGAACAUCAGUGGCGAAGGCGACUGUCUGGGCUGAUACUGACGCUGAGGUGCGAAAGCGUGGGGAGCAAACAGG
Molecule: ribosomal RNA, 252 nt
Filed under: uncultured bacterium
Lineage: Bacteria
Description: partial 16S ribosomal RNA
Rfam family: Bacterial small subunit ribosomal RNA
Source: RNAcentral